Molecule: ribosomal RNA, 303 nt
Filed under: uncultured bacterium
Lineage: Bacteria
Description: partial 16S ribosomal RNA
Rfam family: Bacterial small subunit ribosomal RNA
Source: RNAcentral
AGCAGCAGCCGCGGUAAUACGAAGGGUGCAAGCGUUACUCGGAAUUACUGGGCGUAAAGCGUGUGUAGGUGGUUGUUUAAGUCUGUCGUGAAAGCCCUGGGCUCAACCUGGGAAUUGCGAUGGAUACUGGGCGACUAGAGUGCGGUAGAGGAUAGUGGAAUUUCCGGUGUAGCAGUGAAAUGCGUAGAGAUCGGAAGGAACAUCUGUGGCGAAGGCGACUAUCUGGGCCAACACUGACACUGAGGCACGAAAGCGUGGGGAGCAAACAGGAUUAGAUACCCCGUAGUCCCUGUCUCUUAUACA